AGGGCACCACCAGGAGUGGAGCCUGCGGCUUAAUUUGACUCAACACGGGAAAACUUACCUGGUCCUGACACUAGAAGGAUUGACAGAUUGAUAGCUCUUUCUUGAUUUGGUGGAUGGUGGUGCAUGGCCGUUCUUAGUUGGUGGAGUGAUUUGUCUGGUUAAUUCCGAUAACGAACGAGACUCUAGCCUAUUAAAUAACACGCAGAAUCUUGUCUUCUGCGGUGUUUCUUAAUGGGAUCAAGUGUGUUUAACGCUUUGAAACAGAGCAAUAACAGGUCUGUGAUGCCCUUAGAUGUUCGGGGCUGCACGCGCGCUACAUUGAAAGACAAAAUGAGCCUUCUAGUUUUUAAUAAAGCUAGUAAUCUUUGAAUGUUUUUCUUAAUGGGGAUAGGGGAUUGCAAUUGUGCCCCUUGAACGAGGAAUCCCCAGUAAGUGCUAAUCAUUAGUUAGUACUGAUUACGUCCCUGCCCUUUGUACACACCGCCCGUCGCUACUACCGAUUGAAUGGUUUAGUGAGAU
This 519-nucleotide ribosomal RNA is filed under the name uncultured eukaryote. Its description in RNAcentral is "bacterial SSU rRNA". It matches the Rfam family "Eukaryotic small subunit ribosomal RNA", at positions 1161 to 1707 of the family's 1831-position model. The record is from RNAcentral.